Molecule: non-coding RNA, 80 nt
Organism: Entelurus aequoreus (snake pipefish)
Lineage: Eukaryota; Metazoa; Chordata; Actinopteri; Syngnathiformes; Syngnathidae
Source: the annotation of a RefSeq genome assembly
AAAGUGGUGGCUGAAUGGUUAAAGCGGUAGACUGUAAAUCUAUUGGGAAACCGUUAUUGGUUCGAAUCCAAUUCACUUUA